UCUCCGUUGGUGAACCAGCGGAGGGAUCAUUACCGAGUUUACAACACCCAAACCCCUGUGAACAUACCAUUUGUUGCCUCGGCGGUGCCUGCUUCGGCAGCCCGCCAGAGGACCCAAACCCUUGAUUUUAUACAGUAUCUUCUGAGUAAAUGAUUAAAUAAGUCAAAACUUUCAACAACGGAUCUCUUGGUUCUG
RNAcentral lists this unclassified non-coding RNA (195 nucleotides) under plant metagenome. RNAcentral describes it as "partial contains small subunit ribosomal RNA, internal transcribed spacer 1, and 5.8S ribosomal RNA". The record is from RNAcentral.